UGGCGGACGGGUGAGUAACGCGUGGGUAACCUGCCUCACACAGGGGGAUAACACCUGGAAACAGGUGCUAAUACCGCAUAAGCGCACAGGGCCGCAUGGCCCGGUGUGAAAAACUCCGGUGGUGUAAGAUGGACCCGCGUCUGAUUAGCUUGUUGGCGGGGUAGGGGCCCACCAAGGCGACGAUCAGUAGCCGGCCUGAGAGGGUGGACGGCCACAUUGGGACUGAGACACGGCCCAAACUCCUACGGGAGGCAGCAG
This 258-nucleotide ribosomal RNA is filed under the name uncultured bacterium. RNAcentral describes it as "partial 16S ribosomal RNA". It matches the Rfam family "Bacterial small subunit ribosomal RNA", at positions 96 to 354 of the family's 1533-position model. The record is from RNAcentral.